CAUGAAGUGAAGCAUGUAA
Molecule: ribosomal RNA, 19 nt
Filed under: Alexandrium minutum
Lineage: Eukaryota; Dinophyceae; Gonyaulacales; Pyrocystaceae
Description: partial large subunit ribosomal RNA
Source: RNAcentral